UGAGGAGAGAAAAUACCCUCAAAGAGUGGACUGCGCCUUCCCGAAGCAGCCUAAUUAUAAGUAGAUCUGAGGACUAAGCAGACUUGCCCACUUGCAUGUCUUCUCGUCUUGCUGGUGAGUUGCUGCUUGUCCUGCCCGCAAUUCAGUAUUCUUUUAGGACGUAUUUGGAGAACACAUUACAUUUUAUUCCUCCAUUUGCUGCCCAGCUUCACCAUGUUACUGACUGAACUAACCCAAACUCAUUGAGCAAUGUGUACGCCCUCCACUUGAGUAAUCUCACAUGUUCCUGUGACUUCGAUAACGCCAUUCUGUCAUCUCACAUCCCCUCCCUGGAAUGUCCUUCUAAAUUCUAGACUUGUAUCUACAACGUCCCAUUUGACAUGUGUCCUUGAAUCCAUUGCAAUCAUCUCAAAAGCACUGUGUCUCAGCUUGAACAUUUGAACUCUGCGGCUUGCUUCUCCCAAUUCCCAGCACUCGCCAUGGCAAUUAGUGGCAAUUUUAUUUUUAUGCAUAUAUGUAUUUAUACAGGGGCUGAUAGAUCUGAGGCUGGCCUCAAACUCACAAUGACCUGAAACUCCUGGUCCUCCGGCUGCCACCUCCCUAACACUGGGCUUACAGGUAUGCUGCCACACCCAGUAUAUAUGGUUCUUGAGAAUCAAGCUCUGGACCUCAUCCAUAUUAGGCAAACACCAUACCAUUAGGGCUACAACCUGGUCCACUCAGUGGUAGUUUCCUUUCUCUUCUUGCUCACAGAGUCCAAAGUUCAACUCUUUCUUUCUUGUUUCUUCUUCUGGUCCAUCAUUAAGCCAUCUCAAAAAGAGUGGAAGACACAGCCGGCCGUUGGUGGCGCACGCCUUUAAUCCCAGCACUCGGGAGGCAGAGGCAGGCGGAUCUCUGUGAGUUUGAGGCCAGCCUGGUCUAC
Molecule: long non-coding RNA, 922 nt
Organism: Mesocricetus auratus (golden hamster)
Lineage: Eukaryota; Metazoa; Chordata; Mammalia; Rodentia; Cricetidae
Exons: 3
Source: RefSeq, a predicted model, not a curated record